AAUUUUGGACAAUGGGCGCAAGCCUGAUCCAGCCAUGCCGCGCGAGUGAAGAAGGCCUUCGGGUUGUAAAGCACUUUCGGACGGUACGAAAUCGAGCAGGCUAAUACCCUGCGCGGAUGCCGGUACCGUAAUAAGAAGCACCGCCUAACUACGUGCAGCAGCCGCGGUAAUACGGAGGGUGCGAGCGUUAAUCGGAAUCACUGGGCGUAAAGCGUGCGGAGGCGGUUGAUUAAGACAAGCGUGAAAUCCCCGGGCUUAACCUGGGAACUGCGCUUGUGACUGGUCAGCUAGAGUACGGCAGAGGGGGGUGGAAUUCCACGUGUAGCAGUGAAAUGCGUAGAGAUGUGGAGGAACACAGAUGGCGAAGGCAGCCCCCUGGGCCGAUACUGACGCUCAUGCACGAAAGCGUGGGUAGCAAACAGG
RNAcentral lists this ribosomal RNA (423 nucleotides) under uncultured bacterium. RNAcentral's name for it is "partial 16S ribosomal RNA". It matches the Rfam family "Bacterial small subunit ribosomal RNA", at positions 360 to 776 of the family's 1533-position model. The record is from RNAcentral.